Non-coding RNA from Theobroma cacao (cacao), 189 nucleotides. The record is from RefSeq and is a predicted model, not a curated record. NCBI's taxonomy places the organism in Eukaryota, Viridiplantae, Streptophyta, Magnoliopsida, Malvales, Malvaceae.
GAAAAUUGGUGGAUUUCAAGUAAUCAAGCAAUCAAAGGUGGUGAAUCCUCCAAUAAAGGCAAAGAAAUUGUACCCGAGGAUCGAUAGUCAGAGUACUCUAAAAAUUUGACUCCCGAUAUAGAGGAGAGCCUUUCGGUACAGGCAAGGAAGUCAUACCCGACGAACAGUGAUCGGGGCACCUAAAAAGCA